GUGGGGAAUAUUGGACAAUGGGCGAAAGCCUGAUCCAGCCAUGCCGCGUGUGUGAAGAAGGUCUUCGGAUUGUAAAGCACUUUAAGUUGGGAGGAAGGGCAGUAAGUUAAUACCUUGCUGUUUUGACGUUACCGACAGAAUAAGCACCGGCUAACUUCGUGCCAGCAGCCGCGGUAAUACGAAGGGUGCAAGCGUUAAUCGGAAUUACUGGGCGUAAAGCGCGCGUAGGUGGUUUUGUAAGUUGAAGGUGAAAUCCCCGGGCUCAACCUGGGAACUGCCUCCAAAACUGCAUGACUAGAGUACGGUAGAGGGUAGUGGAAUUUCCUGUGUAGCGGUGAAAUGCGUAGAUAUAGGAAGGAACACCAGUGGCGAAGGCGACUACCUGGACUGAUACUGACACUGAGGUGCGAAAGCGUGGGGAGCAAACAGGAUUAGAAACCCUGGUAGUCC
Molecule: ribosomal RNA, 450 nt
Filed under: uncultured bacterium
Lineage: Bacteria
Description: partial 16S ribosomal RNA
Rfam family: Bacterial small subunit ribosomal RNA
Source: RNAcentral